Long non-coding RNA from Phasianus colchicus (ring-necked pheasant), 1582 nucleotides. NCBI's taxonomy places the organism in Eukaryota, Metazoa, Chordata, Aves, Galliformes, Phasianidae. The record is from Ensembl.
GAGCCGGUGGCCGCCUGGCACUCCGCGUCCCCUGGUGGAAGCGGCCGAGAGCCCGAGAACGGUGUCGUUAGCGGGAGAGAAAAGGAAUCCUGAGACAAGCGCUGGUUUUUAAGGAGAGCCGUGAAGCCCGGUGUCCCAAAUUCACCCCAAGAAGGGCUCCGUAAAGCCAGCGACUGUCCCUUCACCUUCCGCUCUGCCCACAGGCACCCUGCUGAUCUCAGCUCAGCUGUACCGUGAGGUCCGCAGGCGGAACCCUGGAAAAGGCGACCUCCACACUAAGCAGGGCCUGACACCCACGACUGCCAUUUGUGAUAGCCCCAGAAGCUCCGGGGGCGGAGCAGUGUCACACCCCACUUCAGAACUGCUAGAAAUCUACUGUGAAGGGCUACUCAGAAUGCAUCACCCAGGGUGCCCCGUGCCCUCCUCAUACAGAGCGAGCACAGACCAGUGUCUGCCAAACCCCUUCAAAGCCCUUCAGACCAGUGCAGCCCAUCUGUGCUAAUUAUACUCAUGAUACUCUGUUAUAUACUGUGUAUAUAAUGGUGUUAUUUAUUAACAGCUAAAUAACUAAAGCAUUUGGUGUGUUAUGUUGAGCAGUUUAAUUAAAGAUUUAUUAGCAGUUGCCCUUCUUAAAGUAGAUUUGAUCGUACAAACUCCAGAAAGUUUUCCGAUUGCAUUACCAAAAGUCUUCAGGUUUUUACAGUGCUCAGAGUUGAUGGUUAUAGAGUUGAUACACUGCAGAGUUGAUGGUUUGUCUGGGUUCCAGGAAAACCAGAAGGAUCACCCCUUUCCGAUCCCAAAGGAGAUGAAACCAGUUGUACAGACCUGCUCAGUCACUUCCUGUGCAUCACCUUGACUAAUGUUUAUCCUGAGAUGUUACAUUUACACUGUGAUUGGAUGCAUACCAUGAAGCCCACGUUAUUCCAGUGCUGCUCAGCCUGUCCUCCACCUUUUUUUCCUCCUCCUUGGGUACACCCCAUGGCAUCGUGCCUGGCCCUCAACUUCCUUUCCAGAGGGAUGACCACCCUGCAGCUCCAAGGGUGUGCAAAGACAUCUGACUGUGGUACCCUAUGACAACAUAGAGGUCACAGUGAAAUAUCAUCCCCAGCAUAAGUCGAAUAGAGGCUAAACAGCCUCAGGAUCCUAACAGCAGGUCUUCUCCAGUCUUGGGAACAAGAUGCCAAGUUCUGUGAGCUGUAGAGAAGUGCAUAAAGAUGGAUGAAGGUGUGAGGGCAGCAGGGAUACUGCCGGAGAUCAUCUGAGGUGAGCUGGAAGAAACCUUGGCUGUGUCCUAUUCUCCCUUGCUGGAGGGACUGUCCCUUCCACCAGCCUAGCCACUGCCUGGGCAGCCUAGGAGAGCAUUGCUGUGUGCACAGUGCAUUUGCUGAGGACACUAGGGAACAGGGAGCUGUUCACAGUGACCCUGCAGAUGAGUCUGUGAAAGCACAGAAUUUGAAGGAAGUGAAAUCAAUGAAAGCCUAUAGGAUCCACUAUAAAUCUGUAGUGGUUUAGGACAGUGUUCUAAAUAGUUUCCACAGUCUGAAGUAACAACCUUUUUCAUUCUUAGGUUGGUGCAAAUGCU